RNAcentral lists this ribosomal RNA (244 nucleotides) under uncultured bacterium. RNAcentral's name for it is "partial 16S ribosomal RNA". It matches the Rfam family "Bacterial small subunit ribosomal RNA", at positions 57 to 305 of the family's 1533-position model. The record is from RNAcentral.
GCAAGUCGAACGGUAACAGGAAGUGCUUGCACUUUGCUGACGAGUGGCGGACGGGUGAGUAAUACUUAGGAACAUGCCUUUUAGCGGGGGACAACUAUUGGAAACGAUAGCUAAUACCGCAUAACGUCUACGGACCAAAGGGGGCUUCGGCUCUCGCUCAGAGAGUGGCCUAAGCGGGAUUAGCUAGUUGGUGUGGUAAAGGCGCACCAAGGCGACGAUCUCUAGCUGGUCUGAGAGGAAGAUC